RNAcentral lists this ribosomal RNA (438 nucleotides) under uncultured bacterium. RNAcentral describes it as "partial 16S ribosomal RNA". It matches the Rfam family "Bacterial small subunit ribosomal RNA", at positions 355 to 785 of the family's 1533-position model. The record is from RNAcentral.
UAGGGAAUCUUCCACAAUGGACGAAAGUCUGAUGGAGCAACGCCGCGUGAGUGAUGAAGGGUUUCGGCUCGUAAAACUCUGUUGUUGGAGAAGAACGGGUGUCAGAGUAACUGUUGACAUCGUGACGGUAUCCAACCAGAAAGCCACGGCUAACUACGUGCCAGCAGCCGCGGUAAUACGUAGGUGGCAAGCGUUGUCCGGAUUUAUUGGGCGUAAAGCGAGCGCAGGCGGUUUUUUAGGUCUGAUGUGAAAGCCUUCGGCUUAACCGGAGAAGUGCAUCGGAAACCGGGAGACUUGAGUGCAGAAGAGGACAGUGGAACUCCAUGUGUAGCGGUGAAAUGCGUAGAUAUAUGGAAGAACACCAGUGGCGAAGGCGGCUGUCUGGUCUGUAACUGACGCUGAGGCUCGAAAGCAUGGGUAGCGAACAGGAUUAGAUAC